UCAGCUCAGUCAAUGGAGCAUGAGAUUCUUAAUCUCAGGGUUGCGGGUUCGAGCCCCACGGGCAAAA
This is a non-coding RNA of Podarcis lilfordi (Lilford's wall lizard), 67 nucleotides long. The record is from the annotation of a GenBank genome assembly. Lineage: Eukaryota; Metazoa; Chordata; Lepidosauria; Squamata; Lacertidae.